GGCUACAUCAUGCUGAAAUACCAGUUCCCAUACAAUCACUGAAGUUAAGCAACAUUGAGCCUGGUCAGUACCUAAAUGGGUGACCACUUUAUAAUUCUUGGUGCUGCAAGC
This is a non-coding RNA of Acanthosepion pharaonis, 111 nucleotides long. The record is from the annotation of a GenBank genome assembly. Lineage: Eukaryota; Metazoa; Mollusca; Cephalopoda; Sepiida; Sepiidae.